This 574-nucleotide ribosomal RNA is filed under the name Saccharomyces cerevisiae (brewer's yeast). Its description in RNAcentral is "eukaryotic LSU rRNA". It matches the Rfam family "Eukaryotic large subunit ribosomal RNA", at positions 73 to 669 of the family's 3401-position model. The record is from RNAcentral. Lineage: Eukaryota; Fungi; Ascomycota; Saccharomycetes; Saccharomycetales; Saccharomycetaceae.
UGCUUGUACGGCGGUGAGCGGCAAAAGCUCAAAUUUGAAAUCUGGUACCUUCGGUGCCCGAGUUGUAAUUUGGAGAGGGCAACUUUGGGGCCGUUCCUUGUCUAUGUUCCUUGGAACAGGACGUCAUAGAGGGUGAGAAUCCCGUGUGGCGAGGAGUGCGGUUCUUUGUAAAGUGCCUUCGAAGAGUCGAGUUGUUUGGGAAUGCAGCUCUAAGUGGGUGGUAAAUUCCAUCUAAAGCUAAAUAUUGGCGAGAGACCGAUAGCGAACAAGUACAGUGAUGGAAAGAUGAAAAGAACUUUGAAAAGAGAGUGAAAAAGUACGUGAAAUUGUUGAAAGGGAAGGGCAUUUGAUCAGACAUGGUGUUUUGUGCCCUCUGCUCCUUGUGGGUAGGGGAAUCUCGCAUUUCACUGGGCCAGCAUCAGUUUUGGUGGCAGGAUAAAUCCAUAGGAAUGUAGCUUGCCUCGGUAAGUAUUAUAGCCUGUGGGAAUACUGCCAGCUGGGACUGAGGACUGCGACGUAAGUCAAGGAUGCUGGCAUAAUGGUUAUAUGCCGCUCGUCUUGAAACACGGACCAA